Transfer RNA from Colletotrichum sublineola, 94 nucleotides. It matches the Rfam family "tRNA". Rfam says of the family: Transfer RNA (tRNA) molecules are approximately 80 nucleotides in length. Their secondary structure includes four short double-helical elements and three loops (D, anti-codon, and T loops). Further hydrogen bonds mediate the characteristic L-shaped molecular structure. tRNAs have two regions of fundamental functional importance: the anti-codon, which is responsible for specific mRNA codon recognition, and the 3' end, to which the tRNAs corresponding amino acid is attached (by aminoacyl-tRNA synthetases). tRNAs cope with the degeneracy of the genetic code in two manners: having more than one tRNA (with a specific anti-codon) for a particular amino acid; and 'wobble' base-pairing, i.e. permitting non-standard base-pairing at the 3rd anti-codon position. The record is from Rfam. NCBI's taxonomy places the organism in Eukaryota, Fungi, Ascomycota, Sordariomycetes, Glomerellales, Glomerellaceae.
GGCCGUUUAGCUUAAUGGCAGAGCGUACCUCUGACCAUAUCCUGAACGGCGAAUAGUGAAGGUGAAGGUCUGGGUUUGAAUCCCGGUGCGGCCC